This 99-nucleotide small RNA is filed under the name Flavobacterium crassostreae. RNAcentral's name for it is "Flavo-1 RNA". It matches the Rfam family "Flavo-1 RNA". Lineage: Bacteria; Pseudomonadati; Bacteroidota; Flavobacteriia; Flavobacteriales; Flavobacteriaceae. The record is from Rfam by way of RNAcentral.
GUUUAGCCCCGAUAGAAGCGGCAUCCUUUUUAAGGCAGUUGUUUUGUGAAUAACAAAAACAACUGCCUUAAAAAGAUAUAGCGCAUAGCGGGAGGGGAC